RNAcentral lists this unclassified non-coding RNA (21 nucleotides) under Mus musculus (house mouse). RNAcentral's name for it is "oocyte_clustered_small_RNA9679". The record is from RNAcentral. Lineage: Eukaryota; Metazoa; Chordata; Mammalia; Rodentia; Muridae.
CUCCUUCGGCUUGGGCAGGCC